UGGGGAAUUUUGGACAAUGGGCGAAAGCCUGAUCCAGCAAUGCCGCGUGUGUGAAGAAGGCCUUCGGGUUGUAAAGCACUUUUGUCCGGAAAGAAAUCCUUGGCUCUAAUACAGUCGGGGGAUGACGGUACCGGAAGAAUAAGCACCGGCUAACUACGUGCCAGCAGCCGCGGUAAUACGUAGGGUGCAAGCGUUAAUCGGAAUUACUGGGCGUAAAGCGUGCGCAGGCGGUUUGCUAAGACCGAUGUGAAAUCCCCGGGCUCAACCUGGGAACUGCAUUGGUGACUGGCAGGCUAGAGUAUGGCAGAGGGGGGUAGAAUUCCACGUGUAGCAGUGAAAUGCGUAGAGAUGUGGAGGAAUACCGAUGGCGAAGGCAGCCCCCUGGGCUAAUACUGACGCUCAUGCACGAAAGCGUGGGGAGCAAACAGGAUUAGAUACCCUGGUAGUCCACGCCCUAAACGAUGUCAACUAGUUGUUGGGGAUUCAUUUCCUUAGUAACGUAGCUAACGCGUGAAGUUGACCGCCUGGGGAGUACGGUCGCAAGAUUAAAACUUAAAUGAAUUGACGGGGUCAUAGCUGUUUCCU
RNAcentral lists this ribosomal RNA (585 nucleotides) under uncultured bacterium. Its description in RNAcentral is "partial 16S ribosomal RNA". It matches the Rfam family "Bacterial small subunit ribosomal RNA", at positions 355 to 1375 of the family's 1533-position model. The record is from RNAcentral.